This is a non-coding RNA of Ornithorhynchus anatinus (platypus), 133 nucleotides long. Lineage: Eukaryota; Metazoa; Chordata; Mammalia; Monotremata; Ornithorhynchidae. The record is from Rfam.
UACCUCUCAAGGUUGCACCUGGAGAGUUUCCAGUACUCUCCCAGUCUCGACUAUGGGAGGGAGAGUCAAGCAGAGACCUUCCCAUUCCUAGCUUGGGCAGCGGCUAGUGAGUGGAAGGCCGUCUGCUACAAGU